UAAGACAUGCAAGUCGAACGAGAGAAUUGCUAGCUUGCUAAUAAUUCUCUAGUGGCGCACGGGUGAGUAACACGUGAGUAACCUGCCCCCGAGAGCGGGAUAGCCCUGGGAAACUGGGAUUAAUACCGCAUAGUAUCGAAAGAUUAAAGCAGCAAUGCGCUUGGGGAUGGGCUCGCGGCCUAUUAGUUAGUUGGUGAGGUAACGGCUCACCAAGGCGAUGACGGGUAGCCGGUCUGAGAGGAUGUCCGGCCACACUGGAACUGAGACACGGUCCAGACACCUACGGGUGGCAGCAGUCGAGAAUCAUUCACAAUGGGGGAAACCCUGAUGGUGCGACGCCGCGUGGGGGAAUGAAGGUCUUCGGAUUGUAAACCCCUGUCAUGUGGGAGCAAAUUAAAAAGAUAGUACCACAAGAGGAAGAGACGGCUAACUCUGUGCCAGCAGCCGCGGUAAUACAGAGGUCUCAAGCGUUGUUCGGAAUCACUGGGCGUAAAGCGUGCGUAGGCUGUUUCGUAAGUCGUGUGUGAAAGGCGCGGGCUCAACCCGCGGACGGCACAUGAUACUGCGAGACUAGAGUAAUGGAGGGGGAACCGGAAUUCUCGGUGUAGCAGUGAAAUGCGUAGAUAUCGAGAGGAACACUCGUGGCGAAGGCGGGUUCCUGGACAUUAACUGACGCUGAGGCACGAAGGCCAGGGGAGCGAAAGGGAUUAGAUACCCCUGUAGUCCUGGCAGUAAACGGUGCACGCUUGGUGUGCGGGGAAUCGACCCCCUGCGUGCCGGAGCUAACGCGUUAAGCGUGCCGCCUGGGGAGUACGGUCGCAAGAUUAAAACUCAAAGAAAUUGACGGGGACCCGCACAAGCGGUGGAGUAUGUGGCUUAAUUCGAUGCAACGCGAAGAACCUUACCUGGGCUUGACAUGUAAUGAACAACAUGUGAAAGCAUGCGACUCUUCGGAGGCGUUACACAGGUGCUGCAUGGCCGUCGUCAGCUCGUGUCGUGAGAUGUUUGGUUAAGUCCAGCAACGAGCGCAACCCCUGUUGCCAGUUACCAGCACGUGAAGGUGGGGACUCUGGCGAGACUACCCAGAUCAACUGGGAGGAAGGUGGGGACGACGUCAGGUCAGUAUGGCCCUUAUGCCCAGGGCUGCACACGUACUACAAUGCCCAGUACAGAGGGGGCCGAAGCCGCGAGGCGGAGGAAAUCCUGAAAACUGGGCCCAGUUCGGACUGUAGGCUGCAACCCGCCUACACGAAGCCGGAAUCGCUAGUAAUGGCGCAUCAGCUACGGCGCCGUGAAUACGUUCCCGGGUCUUGCACUCACCGCCCGUCA
RNAcentral lists this ribosomal RNA (1329 nucleotides) under uncultured bacterium. RNAcentral's name for it is "16S ribosomal RNA". It matches the Rfam family "Bacterial small subunit ribosomal RNA", at positions 49 to 1399 of the family's 1533-position model. The record is from RNAcentral.